UCAGGGCUGACUGUGGCAGGGGACACUCUCCUGCUGGCUCUCUCUGUUCACACUUAGCUGGCUCCCGGCCUCAGGUGCACAGCCACACCCUUGCACCCAACCUUGAUCCUGUGAUGGGGAAGGUCCCAGGACUUGUCAGUUGGGACAGGCCUCACCCCCAAGAGCUCUGUGCAGUACUGAGAAGGAGAUUGCAGAGGCAAAGCUAGGCUAGGUCUUGGAGGCUGGUGUAAGGCGGUGCGUGUAAGGGAGGACGCUGAUGGGAGAGACUGGUCGAAGAAAAGCCGAAAUGGAUUCUCCGUGCCUUGGAUGGAGGAAGAGGGGGAAGUGCGAGCUCCUUCAACUCGUUCUGUCCGGUGAGGAGUGAUCCCGCUUGGGCUGUCGAGAGGCUCCGGAGCCUUCACGUUCAGUGCUUUUUACCUGCCAAUCAAACUGCUACAAGACAACACCCUGAUCUGGCAUGGUAGCCGCGGGUCCAAGCCUGUAGUCCCAAAUCGGAAAAUCUCUGCAGCUGGUUACACGCAAAAGAGAAGCCAGGCAACAGACAUAUUACAGAAGAAAGCUCUCGACUCCGAGAUUGAACCUAGAAAUUAUAUUCUCCUCAAGAUCCAUUUAAGAGAAUCUGGCCGGUGGCUUUGGUCUGAGAGUUCAGACAUCUCUUGCGAAACUAAGAAAGACCUCAUUUUCUGUUUGCUGGAUCCUUCUAUUUUGUCAUCCCUGAGCCCUAUAAGAAGCUUGCCAGGAAGUCCCCUGUGCUGGAAGGACCAUGUGAGUUCAUCUCAGACAAUGGGUGGCAUGGCACCAUGGCUUUAGUGACUGACACAGUGGAGAACCAUAUUCUCUCUGGAAGAUCUUGGCAACAUGUAUUUGGUAGCGUGGAAAGGCAUGAUGGCAUGGUGGUACAUUCCUUGAAUCACAACACUCCUGAGUUGGAGGGCAGACAGAUCUCUAUGGGGUCUCAUGUAAUCCAGGUUGGCUUUGAACUCCCGAAGGAUGACCUUAGACUCCCAAUCUUCUGCAUCUGCUUCUCAAGCUUUGGGACACCAGCAUUUGUCACCACACCUGCUCUCUAUAGCACUAGAGGAACAAAGUUUCAUGUAGCCCCAGCUGACCUAGAACUUCCUGUGUAUCAACAACUCACUACUUAGGCAAGCUGGACCUGGAGCUUCCUUCUGACCCUUCUGCCUCUGCUUCUCAUGCUUCUGGCUUAGUUCUGUGCUGGAAAUCAAACCCUGGCAGAGAUUAAGGGCUCAGAGCUUCAUUCUUUAUAAAUGAGUGCCCUACCUGCUGUGCCAUGUCCCACCCUUUAGUUUUUAUGAACUGGUAGUAUCUUUUAAUAGCUUGGCAAGACUGAAGAGGUAAUUAUUUUCUUUUGUUCUUCUUGGAGUUUUGUUCCUCAUUUUAAAAAGUCUGCAGUGCCCCACAUGAUGGUAUGUGUCUUUAAUCAAACACUUGGAACAUAGUAGGAACUCAAAGUCAUCCUAGUCUACAGAGCAAUUCUAGGACAGCCUGAGGUAAAUAGUGAGACCCUAUCUCAGAUAGAUAGAUGAUGGAUAGAUAGAUAGAUAGAUAGAUAGAUAGAUAGAUAGAUAGAUAGAUAUUAAAUAGAUAAUAGAUAGAUAGCUUGCAGAAUGCUACAUGGGUCAUAGGUUUUGUUUGCUUGUGUUAAUUUAACCCUUUCUAAACAUAAAAAUCAAGUGUGCAACCCUUUAAUCCCAGCACACUAGAAGUAGAAGAAGGCAGAUCUCUGAGUUUGAGGGUAGCCUGGGCUACAAAGUGAGUUCAAGGACAGCCAAGGCUACACAGAGAAACCCUAUCUAGAAAAACAAAACAAACAAACAAACAAACAAAAACAGACAAAAUGAUGCCAAUGUUUGAUUCUUCUUAGCUUUAUCCACUCCCCUGGGGUCAGAUAGAAACAAAAUUUGUGUAGUCCAAGUUGGCUCCUUACUUUAUACAUCCCAGCUAACCUUAGAACCUAGAUCUUUCUGACUCCGCCUACCAAGUCAUGGGCUUGUUCUACCUUGCCUAUCCUUAGGCAUUUUGUUUGUUUGUCUAAGAUAAAGUCUCUAUCUCUAGCCAAGCUGACCUUGAACUCUUGUCUUUCUUUGUGCUUCUGGUUUCUCACUGGUCAGUGCGAACUUUUAAAAAAGAGGGUGAAACACCUCUUGGCUGUAUGAGGGGCAUAUCUCAGUGACAGAGCACUGGUCCAGCAGGUUAGAGAGGGGCAUAUCUCAGUGAUAGAGCACUGGUCCAGCAGGUUAGAGAGGGGCAUAUCUCAGUGAUAGAGCACUGGUCCAGCAGGUUAGAGACCCUGCUUUAUGGAGAUACACACACACACACACACACACACACACACACACACACACACACACACACACGAGGCUGUUUGGGUUCCAGAAAUGCACAAAACCUCUCGGUUUGGGCAAAUGACUAGUCCGCAGGCCCUCCCCGAUGACCACUCGGGUCCUCAGCUGUUGUCAGUCAGUGUUACAAAUCUUGCCAGUUUCCUUCUGAUACCUUUAUAAUCUUCCUAAAUCAAUUUUAUUUAUUUAUUUAUUUAUUUAUUUUUAUGUUUUGGGUUUUUUUCAAGACAGGUUUCUCUGUAUAGCCCUGG
This is an RNA transcript of Mastomys coucha (southern multimammate mouse), 2614 nucleotides long. RefSeq lists it as uncharacterized. The record is from RefSeq and is a predicted model, not a curated record. Lineage: Eukaryota; Metazoa; Chordata; Mammalia; Rodentia; Muridae. The transcript is spliced from 8 exons.